GAACAUGUCCUUCACAUCCAUAGUUGCCAUCCAGGCGUGAGAAGCCGCUUGAAUUGCUGUCACUGUGGAUGAGAGACUUGGAACUGCUGCAGUGAGAGGAAGAGUUUCCUAAAGUCAAUAGUUAGUCUCCACCUGCCAUCUGGUUUUUGAACUGGCCAGACAGGUGAAUUGUAAGGAGAAUGAGUUCUGGUGAUAAUCUUUCUUUUCUCCAGGUCAGCUAUCACUUCAGUAAUGCCUUGCCUAGCUGCUGCUGGUAAUGGAUAUUGUGCAACACAGGCACGUGGUCUCCGUCACUUCGUAGGCGGCAGCUCAGAAGAUGGCGCUGGUCAGGAAGACAGCUCGGAAGAUGGCGCCAGUUGGGAAAAAUGGCGGCUGCUCGUCCCGGCGGUCGGUUUCGGUCUGAGUUGUGGCGGAGUGGCGGAUGAUCACCUGCGGCGUUAAUGGCGGCGGUGGCGACAUCUGCGGCACUCGGGUAUGCGGCAAAGGAACUGGUGAGGACUGCAAUGGCGGUUCCUGUUGCGGCAGCAGCUGGCAUGGAUGUCGAGGUGCCGCGGAUGGCACUCAACAUCAAUUACCAUAUUAUCAAAUGCGCCUUGAGCCUGAAUUAUGCAUGCUGCUAACAAAAUAAGAUUCUCUUUAUCGACUCCGUCUACUUCCUCUAAAGCUGUAUACAACGUGACUAUCAGAUCUGCCCGUCUGUCUGUUAAUUGUUCCGGGCUAGCAAAAGCGAGCGUGUCCAUGGCUUUCCUUAAAUGUGCAGGCUCAAAAAUAGAUGCCAGUUUAGAAAACAAAUAGUCUAUUGUCGAUGUUGUGAUAGCCGACUCAGCUUCAGCUGUCGCUGACCCUGCUCGCUGCGCCAUUAUGUUACGGAAUGGAGUUUAGGGGAAUUCAUGGGGAAUAACAUGUGAGGCCGAUUUAUAAAGAUGGUUAAAUGAUUUAUUACUAAAACACUAGAAAUCCCUUUCCCCAAACUUAUUUAUAACUAUCCCACGUAAGUUCUUGGUUCGCGGUCGCAGAUUAAAAUAAAGAAUGGCUAAAAUGAAGAGA
This is a long non-coding RNA of Pogoniulus pusillus (Red-fronted tinkerbird), 1047 nucleotides long. RefSeq lists it as uncharacterized. NCBI's taxonomy places the organism in Eukaryota, Metazoa, Chordata, Aves, Piciformes, Lybiidae. The transcript has 2 exons. The record is from RefSeq and is a predicted model, not a curated record.